This 573-nucleotide ribosomal RNA is filed under the name uncultured Tetragenococcus sp. RNAcentral describes it as "bacterial SSU rRNA". It matches the Rfam family "Bacterial small subunit ribosomal RNA", at positions 90 to 648 of the family's 1533-position model. The record is from RNAcentral. Lineage: Bacteria; Bacillati; Bacillota; Bacilli; Lactobacillales; Enterococcaceae.
GCGGAGUGGCGGACGGGUGAGUAACACGUGGGGAACCUAUCCAUCAGCGGGGGAUAACACUUGGAAACAGGUGCUAAUACCGCAUACGGNCUUUUUUUCACCUGAAAGAAAGCUCAAAGGCGCUUUAUAGCGUCACUGAUGGCUGGUCCCGCGGUGCAUUAGCCAGUUGGUGAGGUAACGGCUCACCAAAGCAACGAUGCAUAGCCGACCUGAGAGGGUGAUCGGCCACACUGGGACUGAGACACGGCCCAGACUCCUACGGGAGGCAGCAGUAGGGAAUCUUCGGCAAUGGACGCAAGUCUGACCGAGCAACGCCGCGUGAGUGAAGAAGGUUUUCGGAUCGUAAAGCUCUGUUGUCAGCAAAGAACAGGAGAAAGAGGCAAUGCUUUUUCUAUGACGGUAGCUGACCAGAAAGCCACGGCUAACUACGUGCCAGCAGCCGCGGUAAUACGUAGGUGGCAAGCGUUGUCCGGAUUUAUUGGGCGUAAAGCGAGCGCAGGCGGUGAUUUAAGUCUGAUGUGAAAGCCCCCAGCUCAACUGGGGAGGGUCAUUGGAAACUGGAUCACUUGAGUG